This is a long non-coding RNA of Globicephala melas (long-finned pilot whale), 375 nucleotides long. RefSeq lists it as uncharacterized. NCBI's taxonomy places the organism in Eukaryota, Metazoa, Chordata, Mammalia, Artiodactyla, Delphinidae. The record is from RefSeq and is a predicted model, not a curated record.
GUUUUCCCGUCCCCCACACUCAGCCCUCAUACUCGCCCCGAAUCCAGGCGACCAGUCCCCGACUGAGACCGGCCUCCCCCCGGGACGCAGACGCGCUGGAAAGCGACACAGAUGAAGACACUAUGACUCUUAGGGAUGAUGUGGCUUGCCUGAAAUCCACAUGGCUGGUGGAAAGCAGAGACAGGAUGAAGAGAUCAACCUUUGUGGGCGUGGCUCUCUAUCCACGGACUACAGCACAUGGUGCCAUGGAGACACCUAGUGGUGUGAUCAUGGACAAGUCUCAGCUUCCUGGUAUGGUGAAGACAAUUACCUGCCUCAAUUCUUAUUGCUAUGGAAGAUAAAUGCAAUGUAUUACUUAAUAAAAGAAUAAAAAUA